RNAcentral lists this transfer RNA (64 nucleotides) under Formicomus sp. FOR01. RNAcentral describes it as "tRNA-Asp". Lineage: Eukaryota; Metazoa; Arthropoda; Insecta; Coleoptera; Anthicidae. The record is from RNAcentral.
AAAAACUUAGUUAAAUAAUAACGUCAGCUUGUCAAGCCGAAAUUAAUAAUCAUAUUAGUUUUUU